AUACGGAGGAUCCGAGCGUUGUCCGGAUUUAUUGGGUUUAAAGGGUGCGCAGGCGGGAGAUUAAGUCGGCGGUGAAAUUUUGCAGCUCAACUGUAAAAGUGCCUUCGAAACUGGUUUCCUUGAGUGGAGAUGAAGUAGGCGGAAUUUGUGGUGUAGCGGUGAAAUGCAUAGAUAUCACGAGGAACUCCGAUUGCGCAGGCAGCUUACUAAACUACUACUGACGCUCAGGCACGAAGGCGUGGGGAUCAAACAGGAUUAGAUACCCUGGUAGUCCACGCAGUAAACUAUGAUUACUCGCUGUUUGCGAUACACAGCAAGCGGCUUAGCGAAAGCGUUAAGUAAUCCACCUGGGGAGUACGUUCGCAAGAAUGAAACUCAAAUGAAUUGGCGGGG
Molecule: ribosomal RNA, 393 nt
Filed under: uncultured bacterium
Lineage: Bacteria
Description: partial 16S ribosomal RNA
Rfam family: Bacterial small subunit ribosomal RNA
Source: RNAcentral